UCGCUAGUGUAACGGCAGAAGGGUGAAUAACGCGUGGGAAUUAACUCUCUGAUAACGGAAAACGCAGGGAAAUUUGUGCUAAUACCGUAUGUGUCCUUUCGGGAGAAAGAUUUCUCGGUCAAGGAUGAGCCCGCGUUGGACAGCUAGUUGGUGGGGUAAAGGCCUACCAAGGCGACGAUCCAUAGCUGGUCUGAGAGGAUGAUCAGCCACAUUUGGGACUGAGACACGGCCCAAACUCCUACGGGAGGCAGCAGUGGGGAAUAUUUGGACAAUGGGCGCAAGCCUGAUCCAGCCAUGCCGCGUGAGUGAUGAAGGCCCCUAGGGUUGUAAAGCUUCUUUACCGGAGAAGAUAAUGACGGUAUCCGGAGAAGAAAGCCCCGGCUAACUUUCGUGCCAGCAGCCGCGGUAAUACGAAGGGGGCUAGCGUUGUUCGGAAUUACUGGGCGUAAAGCGCACGUAGGCGGAUCGAUCAGUCAGGGGUGAAAUCCCAGGGCUCAACCCUGGAACUGCCUUUUGAUACUGUCGAUCUGGAGUAUGGAAGAAGGUGAGUGGAAUUUCCGAGUGUAGAGGUGAAAUUUCGUAGAUAUUUCGGGAGAGAGACACCAGUUGGCGAAAGCGGCUCACUGGGUCUCAUUCACUUGACGCUUGAGGGUGCGAAAGCCGUGGGGGAGCAAACAGGGAUUUAGAUACCCCUGGGUAGUCCCACGCCCGUAAACGGAUGAAUGUUUAGCCCGUCGGGCAGUAUACUGGUUUCGGUGGGCGCAGCUAACGCAUUUAACAUUUCGCCCUGGGGGAGUACCGGUCGGCAAGGAUUAAAACUCAAAGGAAUAUGACCAGGGGGCCCGCACCAAGCGGUGGGAGCCAUGGUGGGUUUAAUUUCGUAGCAAACGCGCAGAAAACAUAACCCAGCCCCCUUGGACAUGACCCGGCUACUUGCAGAGAAUGCAAGGGUUGCCUUUUCUGGGGAACGAGGGACAACAAGAGGCUUGCAUGGGCUGGUCGUUCCAGCCUCCCUCGUUCUGGAGAAUAGAUAGGGGUAAGAUACCCCGCCACACGAGAGAGUCAACCCUCCCCCCCCUUCGUUUGUCUACGCAAUAAUUUUUGGUGCACUCUCUAACCGGGACAAUGACCCGGCCGUUGUCUAAGCCAAAAACGCAAGCUAAGAAGUAAAUCCAAUUUCUCUCUAUUGGGCGCGCCUUACGAGUCUGGGCGUGAAAAACAUACUUAACAAUUGGUGUUGGGACACAAGU
Molecule: ribosomal RNA, 1250 nt
Filed under: uncultured Rhizobium sp.
Lineage: Bacteria; Pseudomonadati; Pseudomonadota; Alphaproteobacteria; Hyphomicrobiales; Rhizobiaceae
Description: bacterial SSU rRNA
Rfam family: Bacterial small subunit ribosomal RNA (bases 1-962)
Source: RNAcentral